AACUUUUGGCAAUGGAUCUCUUGGCUCUCGCAUCGAUGAAGAUCGCAGCGAAACGCGAUAGGUAAUGUGAAUUGCAGAAUUCAGUGAAUCAUCGAAUCUUUGAACGCACAUUGCGCCCUUUGGUAUUCCGAUGGGCAUGUCUGUUUGAGCGUCAGUAACACCCCUCUUUGCGACUUUUUGUCACGAAGGUUUUGGGUGCGGCCACCGCGGCCCGCCCUAAUGCUGUACGCUUUGCGGGCUCCACACAGAUGUCAACGUAGUAAACACAAACGCUCGCUGAGAAUCUCUGUGGCGGCUUACGCCUCGAACCUCUUUAUGAAGUUUGACCUCAGAUCAGACAAGGAUACCCGCUGAACUUAAGCAUAUCAAUAAGCGGAGGCU
Molecule: unclassified non-coding RNA, 381 nt
Filed under: uncultured Orbiliaceae
Lineage: Eukaryota; Fungi; Ascomycota; Orbiliomycetes; Orbiliales
Description: sequence contains ITS2
Rfam family: 5.8S ribosomal RNA (bases 1-154)
Source: RNAcentral